This 301-nucleotide ribosomal RNA is filed under the name uncultured bacterium. RNAcentral's name for it is "partial 16S ribosomal RNA". It matches the Rfam family "Bacterial small subunit ribosomal RNA", at positions 509 to 807 of the family's 1533-position model. The record is from RNAcentral.
CAGUCGCCGCGGGAAAACGUAGGUGGCAAGCGUUGUCCGGAAUUAUUGGGCGUAAAGGGCUCGCAGGCGGUUUCUUAAGUCUGAUGUGAAAGCCCCCGGCUCAACCGGGGAGGGUCAUUGGAAACUGGGAAACUUGGGUGCAGAAGAGGAGAGUGGAAUUCCACGUGUAGCGGUGAAAUGCGUAGAGAUGUGGAGGAACACCAGUGGCGAAGGCGACUCUCUGGUCUGUAACUGACGCUGAGGAGCGAAAGCGUGGGGAGCGAACAGGAUUAGAUACCCCUGUAGUCCCUGUCUCUUAUAC